Molecule: transfer RNA, 75 nt
Filed under: Candidatus Zymogenaceae bacterium
Lineage: Bacteria; Deltaproteobacteria; Candidatus Zymogeniales; Candidatus Zymogenaceae
Description: tRNA-Arg
Rfam family: tRNA
About the family: Transfer RNA (tRNA) molecules are approximately 80 nucleotides in length. Their secondary structure includes four short double-helical elements and three loops (D, anti-codon, and T loops). Further hydrogen bonds mediate the characteristic L-shaped molecular structure. tRNAs have two regions of fundamental functional importance: the anti-codon, which is responsible for specific mRNA codon recognition, and the 3' end, to which the tRNAs corresponding amino acid is attached (by aminoacyl-tRNA synthetases). tRNAs cope with the degeneracy of the genetic code in two manners: having more than one tRNA (with a specific anti-codon) for a particular amino acid; and 'wobble' base-pairing, i.e. permitting non-standard base-pairing at the 3rd anti-codon position.
Source: RNAcentral
GCCCCUGUAGCUCAGUAUGGAUAGAGCAAUGGAUUCCUAAUCCAUGUGUCGCUGGUUCGAGUCCGGCCAGGGGCG